GCUGGGUGUGGGGGCGUGCACCUGUAAUCCCAGCUACUCAGGAGGCUGAGGCAGGAGAAUCACUUGAGCCCAGGAAGCGGAGGUUGCAGUGAGCUGAGAUCAUGCCACUGUACUGCAUCCUGGGCGACAGAGCGAGACUCUGUCUCAA
Papio anubis (olive baboon) is the source of this 148-nucleotide unclassified non-coding RNA. It matches the Rfam family "Metazoan signal recognition particle RNA". From Rfam's summary of the family: The signal recognition particle (SRP) is a universally conserved ribonucleoprotein. It is involved in the co-translational targeting of proteins to membranes. Lineage: Eukaryota; Metazoa; Chordata; Mammalia; Primates; Cercopithecidae. The record is from Ensembl.